ACCGGUCUUCGGUCAAGGGUAUACGAGUAGCUGUGCUCCCCUGCUAGAACCUCCAAACAAGCUCUCAAGGUCCAGAGUAUCUUUUUUUUAAAGAAGUAUGUGUUGGGGGGCAGU
RNAcentral lists this small RNA (114 nucleotides) under Mesocricetus auratus (golden hamster). RNAcentral's name for it is "7SK RNA (ENSMAUG00000007401.1)". It matches the Rfam family "7SK RNA", at positions 172 to 267 of the family's 331-position model. From Rfam's summary of the family: 7SK was discovered as an abundant small nuclear RNA in the mid-70s but a possible function has only recently been suggested. The record is from RNAcentral. Lineage: Eukaryota; Metazoa; Chordata; Mammalia; Rodentia; Cricetidae.